CAUCUCUGGUUUCUCUUCAGAGCGUAAAAAUCUUUCGCCUUUUACUAAAGAUUUCCGUGGAGAGGAACAACCAAGAGGUUGUUGGAAUUUUUGCAGGCCUGACUAUGGUCAGGCG
Leptobrachium leishanense (Leishan spiny toad) is the source of this 115-nucleotide small nuclear RNA. Its record names the gene U5. It matches the Rfam family "U5 spliceosomal RNA". From Rfam's summary of the family: U5 RNA is a component of both types of known spliceosome. The precise function of this molecule is unknown, though it is known that the 5' loop is required for splice site selection and p220 binding, and that both the 3' stem-loop and the Sm site are important for Sm protein binding and cap methylation. The record is from Ensembl. Lineage: Eukaryota; Metazoa; Chordata; Amphibia; Anura; Megophryidae.